Molecule: RNA transcript, 7564 nt
Organism: Malurus melanocephalus (red-backed fairy wren)
Lineage: Eukaryota; Metazoa; Chordata; Aves; Passeriformes; Maluridae
Gene: USP19
Gene name: ubiquitin specific peptidase 19
Exons: 27
Source: RefSeq, a predicted model, not a curated record
GUCUCCCAUUCGCCUGCUUGAAUCCCUGAAUAACCUGUGCUUUGCCUGCACUCCCCCAAAACCCUGAGGUGCYUGCAGCAGCCUCAGGCUGCCAUCAGUCUGGCAGCUGGAAUGGGCAGAGCUCCAGCCCCUUUGGUUUUCCUGCCUGCCAUGAGGAAUAACUGUCGGCAAAGCGCUCGAGGGAGCUGAGCCCUCAAUGAGGCAUGAGAGCAGCAGGCUUCUCCUGGAGCAGUGACAAGCAGGCAUGCAACUCUGCCUGUCUUCCUCACCGCUUCCUGGGGAGAGGCCUGUCCUUUCUCAGCCCUCCAGGAUAUUUCUCAGAGCUUGCUUUCACCCUGCCCAGUAAUUACACUSUGCCACCCCUUUGGAGGUGCAGGAAGGAGGCGAUGGAGCCUCASCUGGCCCUGCACGAAUCAGUCACUGCUUCUUGUUUCCCAUUUCUUCUGGGUUUUUCACUCUAGAGGCAAAAGAAAGACAACAAAAAAUACUUUCCCAUGUUUGCUGAGCCCAGGUUAGCUUCUUCAACACCUGUAACUGACUUGGUUAAGUGUCARUGGGGAUUGGAAUUGUGUGACACCAUGCAGUUGGCUUCAGAGGCCUAGCYUGACAAAUCAUGGCCAUGUUCCUUCCUKUGGGGGCCCUUCCCAUUCCCUCUGGAGCCAGAAGCACUUCUGCAUCCUGGAGAGACCCAGUGUSUGUAGCAGCAUGGGGAUGACACUGCUGCCCUUCUUUCAAGUUGUUUGGAACUCUGGACAGUGCUCAGCAUCCUGGUCUCUAGGUCACUUUGGUUCUCUCUGCUGUGGGUAGCAGGAGUUGUCUGUGCCAGGCAGUUGGGCUGGACUCAGCUUUUCACUUGGCUUCAGUGGCUCUUGGUUGUGAGGGCGGGUUGGCCUGARGAGAAGUGGUUUGGAUGCAGCGCCUGUCAUGGGGCUGGCUUUGCCAGAGCUGAGGGCAGGAUUGGGCUGCUUUGCCCUCUGGAGUCCCUCUUGGUUUGUGACUAUGGUCUCACAUUUGUGACUACUUGUUGCCCUGAACGUUUCUAGAAGACAAAUGGCCUGGUAACCUGGGGUGGCCAGCACAGGACWGGCAGUGUCCUCCCUCUGAUGUAGUGCCUCCUGCCACUGGCUGUGCCCACACUGAGUGUGGGGUCUGUGCUUGGUUCAUGGGUGAGGGCAGAAUAGGGUGUUCCCGAGGGCACAGCUUGCCUCCCACUGAGGGAGAGGCASGCUCCGUGGAGCUGGGCUAGGACAAGAUGCUGUUGGGCUCGGCUCCGUGUCCUCAGAUGGGAGCUGGGCCGUGGGAUGUGUGUGAAUCAGUGCACUGGGAGCUGCAGCAGGCAGCUGGCACCUGGGGGUGGGCGGGAUCCGUGUGGCUGGGCCCGUUUCCCUGCUGCAAACCCCUKCAGGCUGGUGAGCACUGCCAGGGUCGGGUUGUGCAGCCAGGGCAACGAGGGAGGAAACCUUCCCAGGUCUCUGCUCUCACCGCCUCCACAGAGACACCUCCAGUGGGACUAUUUUCUGUAGGUUGUUUCAGCUCUCCUCUCUCAAAACUCUGAGCACCACAGGGUGACACUCAUGAGUGCAACGGACUAGCCCUUGUGCCAGCAUCUGCCUAACGCURUAGAGGAGCUGGCUUUGUAGGGAGGGCAUGUCUGAGGGGGCAGGGGUGAGCCAUUUAUGUGCCCCUUUCAGCCUGCUCUCUUCCUGGGGCACGAAGAGCAGAGGUAUCCUGUUUCCAGGCCAGGCCCUGCUGACGCUGUCUGUAAACUGUCUGGGAGAUAAAUAUUCAAGGUGCACUCAUGCUGGUUAAGCUCCCGGCUAGUGGGCGAAGGGGGAGGAACUCUSCUUUUGCCAGGGAGCUCUGCUCUCAUCUGUCAUGGGAGACUGUCCCAGACCUGCUUCCUUCUUAGGGUGUUACUGGCUCCURUUCUGGCCCUGUUACACAGGGCACUGUUUGACUGAAAUAGCUGUCGCUCCAAGCUGCGUGAUAGGCUCCCCCAGUUGACUCUGGAGGCUCAAUUUUGCAGAUCCAGGCCUCCUCAUGUCCUUGCCCUCAGCUGUGUCUCCAGGUGUUGUUAGCACCAGGGGCUUCUCUGGGCCAGUGUUGCUAUAGUGGGAGCCAUGAGCAUGACACUUGCUUUCCAGGUUUUUAAUGCGUGCCACAUACUGAAGACCCCCGGUUGUAUGCUGGGAGCAUUGACAAGCACAUGCUUUUGGCAGUAAGCACUGUAGCAGCUGUGAUGAGGCCACUACUUCCUUGCCAGAGAGUUUGACCACAGAGAGUCGCCAAGAUAGCUGGGCCAGGAAGAAAACGUCGCACCCCUGACCCAGACUCCAUUACCGACCCCGGCGGGCCGUUUGUGUCCUCCAAACGGCUGAAAAUGUCCAGCAGCACGAAUGUCCCUGGCCAGAGGAGAGUGUCUCGGGGCCUGGAUGAUGCYGCCAACAAGAAGAAGCAGAAGGAUCGAGCCAAUCAGGAAAGCAAGGAAGAGCUGCUGCUGGAUUGGAAGCAGAAUGCCGAUGAGAUCAUCAUCAAGUUAAACUUGGGCAGUGGAGCUCUGAAGGCAGAGGAUGUACAUGCUGAUUUCACYGACACAGACUGUGUGCUCAAGCUACCAGACGGGCGCCAGUGGAGCUGUCAAUUCUAUGAGGAGAUUGAGGGCUCCUGCAGCAAGAUCCAGUGCAAGAAGGGCAACUUUCUCCAGCUUGUGCUUCAGAAGAAGAUCCCACUCCAUAACUGGUCUUCACUUCUGAAAAAGAGGAAAGACGGAUCCAAAGAACAUGCCAAAGGGACCACAUGCUGGGAGAAUGGGAAAGAGAAGGCUGCUUCUGCAGAGUUGACCCCUGAAGAGCCAAGGACUGAAGGCACAGAACAACCAAGAUCCCGGCGGGAGCCCUCCAACCCCAAGCGUGCUCCAGGAAGAAGCGAGGCCCUGGGAGGGAAAAGCCCAGCCAGCCCAGGGACACAGAGUGGCCCCAGCGCCAAGCGGGCAGUAUACCUCAAAGUGGCUCCCACUGAGGAGGAGCCGAAUGCCAGAGUCACUGGGAACACAGAGUCCAGCAAAGGACACAGUGGGAGGGCCAGCAGCCGCCGCAACGGCAGAGCCAGCCAGGUUGAUGCGCCCGCAGCCCUUGCAGAACUCGCACUGCCACUGGAAAAGGCUGUGGUUUUGGCCAAGGAGACUGUUCCAGUGGAGAUGCCGCCUCUUGCGGCUACCACAGAGGUGUUCCCCCACCGUGUUGCCACCUGUGUUGAGAAGAGAAUCCUGCAGCCAGGCAGCCCUGCUGAGGCCUUGCGGAGCCGGGACUGCCCACCUGUCCUGGGAGAGAGCUCUAAGGCCAUCCCAGUGGCCACCCCUCCCAUGGGCAGAGAUGGUGAGAAGCGGGACUGGUCCAAGGAUGAYGUGGCUCUGGAAGCAGCAGCUGAUGAGCCAGAGCCUUUUGUAAGCCUGACCUUUGUCAAGAAUGACUCAUACGAGAAGGGCAAUGAUCUCGUGGUGGUGCAUGUCUAUGUGAAGGAGAUCCACAAGGAGACAUCCAAGGUGUUGUUCCGGGAACAAGACUUCACGCUAGUGUUCCAGACGAGUGACACAAACUUCCUGCGUCUUCAUCCUGGCUGUGGGCCCCACACGGUGUUCCGGUGGCAGGUGAAGCUCAGGAACCUCAUUGAGCCGGACCAGUGCACRUACACCUUCACGGUAUCUCGCAUCGAUGUCUGCCUGAAGAAACGCCACAGCCAGCGCUGGGGGGGUCUGGAGGCUCCAGCCACACGAGGUGCAGUGGGUGGUGCAAAGGUUGCCAUGCCUACAGGCCCUACCCCUCUGGAUAAGAACCCUCCGGGCAGUAACCAGCACCCCCUGUCCAGCAAGGAAGAGGCCCGAACCAGUGACAAAGAGAAGCCGCGUGUGGAAGAUGGGGCUCUGGAUGGYGUGGCAGCCCGUACAGCCCCAGAGCAUGUGGCAGUGAAGCAAGAGCCACACAUUCCUUCGCCCAAACCAACAUGUAUGGUGCCACCAAUGACACACAGUCCUGUGAGUGCCGAGAGCGUGGAGGACGAUGAGGAUGAGGAUGAGAAGAAGAAGGUCUGCCUGCCUGGCUUCACUGGGCUGGUGAAUUUGGGCAACACCUGCUUCAUGAACAGCGUCAUCCAGUCCCUGUCCAACACCCGGGAACUGCGUGACUACUUCCAUGAUCGGUCUUUUGAGUCAGAAAUCAACUACAACAACCCGCUGGGGACGGGGGGACGCCUGGCCAUCGGCUUUGCCAUGCUGCUUAGAGCACUGUGGAAGGGCACACACCAUGCCUUCCAGCCCUCUAAACUGAAGGCAAUUGUGGCCAGCAAGGCCAGCCAGUUCACUGGCUAUGCGCAGCAUGAUGCUCAGGAGUUCAUGGCCUUCCUGCUUGAUGGCCUGCAUGAAGACCUCAACCGCAUCCAGAACAAGCCCUACACAGAGACUGUUGACUCGGAUGGGAGGCCUGAUGAGGUGGUAGCUGAGGAGGCUUGGCAACGGCACAAGAUGAGGAAUGACUCGUUCAUAGUAGACCUCUUCCAGGGCCAGUACAAAUCUAAGCUCGUGUGCCCAGUGUGCUCCAAGGUGUCUAUUACGUUUGACCCCUUCCUGUACCUCCCCGUGCCCCUCCCACAGAAGCAAAAGGUGCUGACUGUCUACUACUUUGCAAAGGAGCCACACAAGAAGCCCAUCAAGUUCCUCGUGAGUAUCAGCAAGGAGAACUCCAGUGCCAUGGAGGUACUUGACUCAGUGGCCCACAGCGUGCGYGUGAAACCAGAGAACCUGCGCCUGGCAGAGGUGAUCAAGAAUCACUUCCACCGCAUGUUCCUGCCGUCCCACUCACUAGACACGGUCUCACCGACAGACCUGCUGCUCUGCUUUGAGGUGCUAUCCCCAGAGCUGGCCAAGGAGCGCGUGGUGGAGCUUCAGGUCCAGCAGCGUCCCCAGGUGCCUAGUGGCCCUGUGGCCAAGUGUGCGGCCUGCCAGAAGAAGCAGUUGCCGGAGGAUGAGAAACUCAAGCGCUGCACGAGGUGCUAUCGAGUCGGUUACUGCAACGUGGCAUGUCAGAAAACCCACUGGCCAGACCACAAGGCUUCGUGCCGCCCUGAGAACAUCGGUUUCCCCUUCCUCAUCAGUGUGCCUGAGUCCCGCCUCACCUACGCCCGCCUGGCUCAGCUGCUGGAGGGCUACGCUAGGUACUCAGUCAGCGUGUUCCAGCCUCCAUUCCAGCUGGGCCGGAUGUCACCAGAGCAGGGGCUGCAGCCUCUGCACUCGGACAAGCUGGAGCCCCUGGCCAAAAGCAGCUGUGCAGCAGCCACCUCUGCCUCUGAGCUGGGGGAUGGAGACAGGGCUUCCAGCCUCCUGCAGGAGCCCCCACUCUCACCAGCUGUGCCUGAGCUGCACCCAGAGAUUGGGGAUACUACUACUACUACUGUCCGGAGCAAGGUGCUGACAGCCAGGAGUUCCCUGCUGAGCUUGGAUUCGGGGUUCUCUGAGCACAUGGAGUCGCAGGGUGACAGCUGUUGUGAGAAGGAGCCAUCCUAUGAGAAAGCCCUCAAGCCAGAAGCUGCCAUCCCUGGGUACCAGCACACUCCAGACUCACUGAGUGCCCGUGCCACACAGUUCUACAUCACUAAGAUCGACGCUGCCAACCGAGAGCACAAGCUGGAAGAUAAAGGUGACACCCCCCUGGAUCUGACAGAUGACUGCUCCCUUGCCCUGGUGUGGAAGAACAAUGAGCGCCUCAAGGAAUUUGUGUUGGUAGAAUCCAAGGAGUUGGAAUGUGUGGAGGACCCAGGCUCAGCCAGCGAAGCAGCCCGGGCUGGCCACUUCACCCUGGAGCAGUGCCUCAAUCUCUUCACCAAACCCGAAGUCUUGGCCCCAGAGGAAGCAUGGUACUGCCCCAAGUGCAAGCAGCACCGUGAGGCUUCCAAGCAGCUGAUGCUGUGGCGACUGCCCAACGUCCUCAUCAUCCAGCUCAAGCGCUUCUCCUUUCGCAGCUUUAUUUGGAGGGAUAAGAUCAAUGACAUGGUGGACUUUCCUGUCCGGAGUCUGGACCUGAGCAAGUUCUGCAUUGGUCGGAAGGGUGAGCAGCAGCUGCCUAUGUAUGACCUGUACGCUGUGAUCAACCACUAUGGAGGCAUGAUUGGAGGGCACUACACAGCGUACGCCCGUCUGCCCAACGACAAGAACAGCCAGCGCAGUGACGUGGGCUGGCGGCUCUUCGACGACAGCACAGUCACCACUGUAGAUGAGAGCCAGGUGGUGACCAGAUAUGCUUAUGUCCUCUUCUAUCGCCGGAGGAACUCUCCYGUGGAGAGACCCCUGCCAGGGCAUCCCUCAGACCACCGCACCGAGCGCACCCCCUCUGCUGARGCUGCUGCCAGCCAGGCUUCUCUGAUCUGGCAGGAACUGGAGGCUGAAGAACAAGAGCUGCAGUUUGAGGCGCCCCAAAGGCCUGCAAGAAACUCCUGGAGGCCCYGUGGCCAGAAGCGGAGUCCGGGCACCCCCCAGCAUCCAGAUGAAGGCUGCAUCAGAUACUUUGUCCUGGCCACCACGGCCGCAAUUGUGGCUCUCUUCCUGAACGUCUUCUACCCGCUCAUUUACCAGCCCCGCUGGAGAUAGGCACAGGCACGUGGCCAGCUGCAGGAGCAGGGCCGCCAGGGCACGCGCCGUCCUAGGACGUUGUGAGACGAAGACAUCGGGCAGCAGCACAGAAAACGCCGGGAAGGACUCGCCAAGGGAACAUGGGGCUGUCGGCUCCUGCCUGUCUGCUCCGACAUCUCCUAUGCCAGCUGGCAGGUCUGUGUGGCCAGCCCGCUGCCUUGCCAAGGCACAGCCCAGAACCAGGAGCUCCUUUGCCUUUCCUUGCUGCCCACUGGGAGCAGGGCAGAUCUCAUGGCUACCUGCUGCUCAAGAAGAGAUGGUGCUGCUGCUGCAGUGCAGCUGGGACCUGAGAGCCCCACCAGCUCAUCAACCAUCUCUGCUUGGGUCCCAAGAAGGAAGUGGAGACCUGUUGGGAGGCUGCAGCAAGGGCGGGAUGCCCUGACAUGAGCCCUGGCUGGCCGCCUUUCUCAGCUGUGCUGCUGCAGGAGCCUUGAGCUCCCCCAGGGCUGGYGUGACCCAUGGUGGUUGGCCAGCCACUCCGUCCUGCCAGCCUCCUGCUGAGCCUCCUGGUGCCAGCUGCCUGGUGCCAACUGAGCUGGGAGUUGUGUAUGGUGUACUCCUGUGCUGGGGCUGGACAGGCUUGUCACCAAGGGCUUGUAUGCUUCCCUGCUUUGUCCCAGGCAGCUGCUGGGGAGCCUGGCAAUACAGACUGUGGUGCCCAGGGUGAGCACUCAUCUCUGUGGGCCACUGCCUCCCAGAAGUCCGUGGGGCUGUGUGCUGGCAGCAUCUGGGGAAGUUGGUCUCUUCAGGGGAGUGUGGUGCAGCACCUAAUUUGUGAGGGCACAGUUGCCCAUGCUGUGGGAGAGCCAAGGGGCCAGGCAGCACAGGGACUGCCCCCGGUGCCGUUCGGAUCCGGCCUGGCCCCCGAAGGAGCCCCGCCRCUGGCUG